UGACCCUCCGCCUCCUGGGCU
This 21-nucleotide unclassified non-coding RNA is filed under the name Chlamydomonas reinhardtii. Its description in RNAcentral is "small RNA Cre_2874". Lineage: Eukaryota; Viridiplantae; Chlorophyta; Chlorophyceae; Chlamydomonadales; Chlamydomonadaceae. The record is from RNAcentral.